This is a long non-coding RNA of Centrocercus urophasianus (Greater sage-grouse), 8653 nucleotides long. RefSeq lists it as uncharacterized. NCBI's taxonomy places the organism in Eukaryota, Metazoa, Chordata, Aves, Galliformes, Phasianidae. The record is from RefSeq and is a predicted model, not a curated record. The transcript has 4 exons.
CUGAACCAUGUCCCUCAGUACAACAUUCAAAUGUUUCUUGAACACCUCCAGGGACGGUGACCCCACUGUCAUGCAGCUUGUGUCAGCACCUGACCACUCUUUAAGAUAACGUACUUGCAAAAAAAAUAAUGUGUGUACAUCACACUGUUCCCUCAUGGCAGUAAAAGCCACGGUGAUGGAAGUCAACUGCUCCUGUGUGAUCUGGGGCUUGUAUUUGAUGAGGUUGAUGAGCAUUCUGCAAGGGAAGCAAAGUCCUGUGAAGCUGGAAGGCAGAUAAAUACAGGUUCAACCAGACUGCAAAAGAAAGUAGGACAAAGAUAAGAAGAAACAAAAGCAGUUAGGUAGGUGCGCUGCUGAGGCUGGACAUGGCUGCUUUCCAAGGCAUUUUAUAGAAGGCAAACAAGUACAGUGGACAAGGAAAAGUUGUACACAAGUCUUCGUGGAAAGUGAACAGAUCAGGUGUUAAUGAUAAAGGCACAUAAUUCUCGUCAAUUUCUAGUUUCCCCAUGCAUGGCCUCCUGAGAGCAUAGGAGCUACUACAGCAGUGGCAAACAGCAGGGUUUAUCGGAUUGGUCAGGUGUCUUCUACAUAUUUCUCCAAGCACAAGAUCCAGCUUUACAGGAAGAGGUAAAAAACACAAUUUCAUGUUAUUCCCUUAUUUUAAUAAAUCCCUGAUAUAGAUGCUGCUUUUAGUAAAGUUAUAAAUGAUAACUGAGAUUUAAAUUAAGCUUUGUCUGUAAGAUAAAAGGGAUUUUUUCUGCUGAAUGUUUUUCCUGAAUUCGUUCUGCUAAAUGGAUUGCUUGCAGUGCAUGCUCACAGAGAGUAAUUCAAGCAUUGACUUCAGUAACAGUGUUAUGCUUACUGCAGGUGUUUAUGUGGAAGUACCUCUUCAGGGCAGCUUAAUACCUCACUGAGCAUUUUGCUCAUUUGCUAGUACUCCAAACUAUUGGACUUUGCUUGUAGUAGGAAUUGACAGAGCUUCAGGAAAAAAAAUAGGACUAAGACUAGUAAGGAAACAAAAAAACCACCAAACUUACAUUUUCCUCAGCACAAGGCAAUAGCUUGUCCUGGCUUAACUGGCAGCAUUUGGAGCCAAUUGUAGUCAUUUGCUUGGUGAAUUUUAUCAGCUCUGCAGAUGUUAGCUGAGGCAUCUUCUUGGUGAAGCUCAGGAGAAGCCUGAAAUGAUAAUUUCUUUGAUAUUGGUGCUUACAUUCAAGCAGCUAACAGUGAGCAAGCCGCUGCCUUCAACUGUGUAAGGCUCCAGCCAAAUCCCACAGCAGAACACUCAUUCCUACUAAGGCAGAACUCAGCCUGGUGUUUACAGACUCAUGUAGGCAAGUAUAAGCAUGCUCCCUGUGAGAUCUCUCCUUUUUCUGACCAGUCUCCUACCAGGCUAAAUAAAAUUAAUGCUAAUGUUGCUGUUUAUAUUUUGGUAGGCUCUCUUUUGAAAUGGUAUGUAUAUUUUCCCUGCUUUGUUCACUUUCCUGGGAGUGCAGGGAGCUUGUUUAGAAGCAAAACUGAACUCGAGUGACUUCUUGGCAGAGCUGAUCUCAGCAGGAGAUAAGCUCCAAAAAGUUGUUUUUUUUUUUUUUCCUACUUAAAAACUGUGCUUAUUAGUCCUGGUGGCUGGGGGAGCCAUAAAAACUGGUACACUAGGCAGAAGUAGCAUACUGGAUUUGUUGGAAACCUCUAGUUCCAGAAGUCUUUUAAAGACCGAACAUGCCCAAGAGUACAAAAAGCUCUCUUUAUCUUCCUCCCCCGACAAAGACAGCAGAAGCCUAAUUUCAUGCAAGCAGUUUAUAGAUUUGAAAUUACUUACAUACUUUGUUAGGCAUGUGCUCAUUAACAUUGCAAAUCAAGGCCAGAAUUCCUGCAGGAGACUUGUGCCUGCAUGUUGCAUUGAAGCACAGCACACAGCUAAGCCAGUCUACUGUAGUUUAUUUUUUGUUACAGUUGUUAGUAUUUGCAUUUGCUGAUGGAAUUAGAGAAAGGUCUUUUGCAGAAGGUGCAGAAAUGGCCUUUUAGCCAAAUUAAUGACUCUUAAGUUACAUCUCACAGCUCAAAAUGCAGUUAUAAAGCAAAGCAAAAACAAAAAACACCAAUGCAUAGCAAAAGUGAAUGAGAGAUUGAACAGGUUGUCAUUUCACUGCCUCAGGAGCCAGGUGAGGAGAAAACUUUGUCUUGGAAGUUAGAAGGAAAGAAAAUCUUACAACUUAUUGGACCAAACAUUCAGAUGAUGUCUUUUAGCCCAGCCUUUUUCUCAUCUAUGAAUUAAUUCUAGCCUACAUUGUUCCCAUCUGGUACAGGCAUCAGGUAAGCAGAAAAAUGUUUUAAAAACAAAAGAUAAAUACUCGUUUUGGAAAUAGUAAUCUCCUUUCUCCUUGUAAAUGUCACAGCUUGUUUUCAUCACACUUUCAGUUUCAUAAAUGUGUUUCUUCAGUUCUUCUUCCUGAGGAAACAGAAUUAAUUUGAGGAAUCACUUUAUCAGUGGGAAUGCAGAAUGUCCUAUUGCCUUAUGAUGAGGCCUUGAUCUCCAUAGCUGCCUCUCACCUGAAAUGCACCACUAAGUUUUAACUUCAUUAGAAACCUGUCUAAAACCUCUAAACUGCCUGAAUGUGACAGAAGUCCACUUCAAUCAUCUUUAAAUAUUAUUUCUAUAAGUAAUGGAGGGCUAGGUUUGAGACAGAGUUCCUCUGAGCUUCAGACGUAUGCAAUGCAGAUGUCUAUAUCUGAGACUGGCUUGGAAGGGACGUUAAAGCCCACCCAGUUCCAAUUCCCUGCCAUGGGCUGGUUGCCUCCCACGAGAUCAGGCUGCCAAGGCCCCCAUCCACCCUGGCUUUGAACACCUCCAGGAAUGGGGCACCCACAGGUCUCUGGGCAGCCUGUGCCAGUGCCUCCCUGAGUAAGGCCUUUUCAAUGUUCAAGUGGGCAAGUGGUGCUGCAGGGGAGCCUAACAGAGAGUGGGGCUCACAGAAAUGCUGUCUCCAUCCCUCCCACUGGCAUCUCUAUCUAUCCAUGUUAAAUCAUUAUAGAAUCAGCAGCAGCUUCUUGCAAAUUAUCCACAGAGAGAGGAGGAGGCUGGAUACCAGAAAUCAGACAUGCACACCAAGAGAAGGUUUCUUCCUGUCCCAUCCCCAGUAGCUCUGAUACCCACAGAAGCACUACUUAGCCAGAACAAGCUGUGUGGUUGUGUGCCUGAAUUCAUCCAUGUAUUAUAGAAGGCACUUACCCCUCUGCUGCAGCAGUUGUCUGGAGAGCCAGUUUUGCAGCACUCAUCCAGUAGGUCCUCGUAUCCUUUACCUAUUCUUAAAAGCAUUUGAGCAGAAAAUUCAGGAUGUCUUCUGGAAUACUCAUAAAGAAACCUGCAAUAUGUAUGCAUUGGGAAUUAGCAAUAAGACAAAACAAUGGCUUUCAGGAGAUUGGGGAUGGUAAGGACAAUAGGGAUGCUUUUGGGUUGCUUUCAUUUGACCUUCCAUGUAAUGGGAAGAAUUUCACAAAAUCACAGCCCAGAAUUCAACUUGAACAGAACAUGACUCAUUAAGCUCUUCCUAUCUAAAUGAAAUAAUUUCCAGUAACAGAGCCAUUUCUCAAAAGAUCUUGAAAAGAUUAGUUGUCCUAAAAGCAGUCACUCUACGUAGCAUUGUGCUCAAUCUCUUAGCUGCACUGUUCGUAAAUGGAAGUGAUGAAUGUCAUUUGAAGUAAAUUAAUUAUCUUUAUUUGUGACUUGAUACUGUUUCUGUUGCAGCUUGUGGCUUUUUUUUUUUUUUUUUCCUAAAUUUGCUACAGGUGGGGUCAGGGCUUUGUCAGAUAAAGGAACAUGUCUAGAAAAGAAAUGGAUCAAACCUGUUUAAUCAAGACAUAAGCAUCAUUUAGGUAUGUGUUUUUAUUCCCAUGUAAGAGUGUAUCAAAGCUAGAUUUUGAGCCUAAGAUCAGAACUGAUAGUACCUAAAUUUCACAUGCAUUUCCUCAGUUUUCUCUGAAAUAAUUGUGUCUUGUUCAGCAUUUGUUCUCAUUCCAUACCCAUUCCAUACAUACAAGACAACCUUGUGCAGUUCCUACAUGCCCACAUGCUCAGAGUGCGGACAAAUCCAAGGCUAAAUGAGCUGAUCUUUAUCUUUCAAACUGCCAUCUUGUAACUCAAGUAGUAGAACAGCAAAAUUGAAGACUGGAGGAAGAUGCAUGUUACCUGGCUAAGUGGGUAUCUUUUUCCUGAGCAAAGCGUUCACAUAUUCCUUUGUCUUCUAUAAACUCCCUAACCUGGGGAGACAAGUUUGCAGGUUUGUCAUCAUUUUCUGCAUUAACAAUGCAUUCAGUUCUUUGGAGCAGUGGCUUUUCACAGCACUUUUUAAUUUUACUUGAUAUGAUGUCUUGGUUAGUGCAGACAUAGUGUAGAAUUUCUUCCUGAAAAGCAAACAAAGGAAGUUUAAUAAGAUUUUGGUCUUUUUUUAAUUUUUAAUUUUUUUUAUUAGCACUGUUAUCUCCAUUUUACAACCAGAGAAGGGGACACUCAAAGGGGAGAAGGAGCUGAAAGCAGUCAGCUGUACAGACUGCUGUACAGUAGUCAUAUGGCAGAACAGGACAGAAGUCAUGUUACUCUACCUGCUGAAGCCUUUUGCUUUCCAUUUGAUAGGUUCCAGAUAACCACCUAAACAGAGAAGUUAGUUAUCUAGCUAGGCAUCACAGACAAGUAGUGAGAUAGAUGGGUUUGGUGUGUUAGAAAAGCAGAGAGAACAGAGGAAAGGCAGAUACAUGUUUUGCUGAAAACUGAACAGAAAAUAUAUGGCACAGCUAGAAGCUGCAACAGGAUUCCCUAGAACAGAAUUAGACCGUUUUAGUCACAAAGUUGAUUUGCUGACUUUUUUUAAAGACUUCAUGACAGAAAAAAGUAAACUGGGAUAAUCAACCAUGAUUUUAGUCUGAAAAAUUAAUCUCUAGAGAAAACGGUACAACACAGAAGGAAAAAAAAAUCUGAAAACAAGAAGGAAAGGCAUAUAAUUUCUGCAAAUGUACAUAAAUAUUAAAUGUUUUACCCUAUCACGCAUACACUCCAGCAUAUCUCCACGACAGCAGUCUUUGUGCAUGUUAGCAAUAUCCGACACAAGUUUGGUAACAGUAAAAAAAUCAGCUUUAGGGAAUUUCUGGCUUAUCUGCACAAGUUUCCUAAAAUGAAGAAAAAUAGUUAUUGCUAAUAUUCUCAGUGUGAAACUGUGAUAGCUUCCAUUACUUGUCUGUAGAGGGCUGUAUGCAAACUGGUCAGAAAUGGCCUGUUACUGCUGUCACUGACAUUGAUAAAAAAAAUGCCAAUUGAAGCCAAAGGCUGAGAUAUUCAGAGUUAUCUUAGGAUCUCCGGUGAAAUUUAGUGUGAGAAAACAGAAAUGUGGUAGAUGAAUGUGAAAUUACAAUAACAAUCUUGUGUCUUAUAUGAGCUAAACUGUAUUUGGCUCGUAAACAUUAAAUCACCAAGAGAAAACAGUGACUACUGUCAUGCAUCAAUUUGUACUAGUCCAUUUGCCUUGUUAGGUGCUACUGAUGGCCUGCACAGAAAGACGAUGUUGCAAUAUUCACAUCCAUUUUAUUGCAUGCAGGUGAAGAUCUGCUUUCAGCUGACAUUUGACAUCCACAAUGUAUUUCAAAAUGCGUAUGCCUAAGGGACUACAGUGAAGCAGCCAGGAAGCCCUGGAACAAGCAACAUAUUGCAUCUUAACAAUGAGUGUGGCCAGUCUACUGCUGAAGCAAAGAAGCCAAAGCCUUGUUUUGUGAGCAUCAGGAAGACUCACAGAGCCUUUAUGGUCCGUUCUCCAAACUUCUUCAGGAUUCCACAUGUGUGUUCCUGCCUCAGGCCAUCUUCUCUGAUGGGCUUCACCACCUUUGGGGCCUAGUAGAAAGACAGUACAGACUGUGAAAAUGGAAGAAAGCCAAGGAAAUGCUUUGUGGUAAAACUACUGAUUUAAGUAGUUAAGUAGAGUUCAAGUCAUAUUUCACCCUGUCCUUAGCAGGGUGAAUUCUAACAUCAGAUACAGAGGCUGAAACAGAAAUAAUCAAUAGCUCUGUUUGAGCAUUUGUUUUGUUAUGGGAAAGCCAUUGGUCCCAUGCUACAAAACCAAACCUCACUUUGUAAUACCUGUCUCCGAAAGCAUUCCUCCAGGUUAUGAGUGGAGUCUUCAGCACUUCUGCAGCAGUCCUUCAUCAUCUCAUCAUAAUGGAUAGCAACAGAAAGGAUUGUAGGGGCAUAGAGGAAAGGAUGCCUUCUGGAAACCUCAUAGAUAAAACUAAAACAGAGAUAAAUGUUUUUAAUAUCAGAUUAAGCCUUGAAACGUAGGGAGCUGCAGUGGUAUUGUAGCAAAACAACAAGCUGUAUGAUGCAGUGUGUCUUGGAAGAAUUCUGACAUUUUUCUGGAAAUUAAAGGCUGAGAUCCUUCCAGUUCUGGUCUAGAGGCAGCGGAACAUCUGCUUGGCUUUUAAGGACUAAAGACAAAUCCCUAGUAUUUCAGGUGAAUGCUUUAUUUAAACUACAAUGAGAUAUAUCAGAUUGUUUUAUUUUUUAUUUGUUUGGACCUAUAUUCAAAGUAGGCUUUGGUAGAACAGGUUUCACAUGAUGAGAAAUAGACCUGGAUGAAUUAUUCAAAUAUUUAUCAUUUGGAAGAAAAAAGAGGAUGGCUCUACAGCAAGUCUCAUUGAACUUUUUGGUUGAUACUGCAUUUGUGGUCUCAAGGCUCGUAACCACUAUAUGCAGACAACAAAUCUAUGAGUCAUUUACUUACUAUCCUGGUAAUGAAUGGCGAUGCUCUGAAUAAUUUUUGCAGGCAACUUCAGCAUUUGGCCUUUCAAAAGGAGAAAUGAAUCCUUUUGAUGAAUUUUUAAGGGAGAGGAAGCAAUCAUUUCUUUCAGGGUCCUUUUUAGCACAGCAGUCAGUAAAUCCAGGAAGAUUGUCCUCCUGGCAUAUAGUGUUGAGGAAGAUCCUGUCCUGUGAAAAAUUAGAAAAAAAGCUAAUGUGUGUGAGGAUUCUAUUUCACCCCCAUGAGUUUUCUGAGGAGACUUUUUAACCCAAAAAGCCCUAAUUUGUGUAAAUGUAUAGUUUCUCUCUUUACUACCGCUGCUUUGCCUGCAGCGUCAGAGUGACUUCUAAAACAUAUGUCAAUUUCUGGUACCUACUAUUAUGCCAAGAUAGACUUUAUUAUGAGACAGUUUUCAAACAUAUUGUUCAGCUUCCACUGAACUUAAAACAUUCAGACCCUCAUUUCUUGACUAGAGUCAAGAUGAUUGUUUGAUUUGUAUAUCUCAACGGGAUCCAUAUUCUUUUCUAAUUAAAAUCAGUGUGUAGUGACAAGUCUCAGGUUUGUGUAACAACAGUUCUCAGGUUCCUUGUUCAUCACAUAGCAAUGCUCAGGUUUGCUGUCAGUCAUGCUUCAGCUGGGAAUUGUUUUAAUUCAGGAUUUGCAUCAGCCCCUUGCUUAACAAAUACAGGAGUUGUAACAGACUGAUAUCCAUUUUCCAUGAUUCAAUCUGCUGAUCUCUGACAGUGCAUUGAAGUGGACUCCACUGAAUACUAGCAAUGUGAGUUAAUGGAGUGGAGAAAGCUCCUAUGAGCAUCAUAGUUGCUAGAAAUAUCUAUUCUGACUUCUACUGAGUUCUGUUAUGAUAGACAUAAAAGCACAAGUUUACAAAUGUUUUAAGAGGUCAAGGAUUUCAAAAGCUACUGUGUUAUUUUCUAUGAAGGACUUUGUCAUCCUUUGCUCAUCUUGAGAUGUCUUUUAGGUGGGAGCAUGGAGAAGGAAAGAGUCAAUAAGAGCAAACAUUCACACACAAGUAAACCAUGUCUCCUAAUAUCUUACUCCUGCUGGAAAAAUGCAUACCAGUACCCUGAAAUUAUGUCACUUCUGAAAAUCUGUACUGCAUUAAAAGUACAAGCUUGCUUACCAAAGGCUUCUGACAGUUUGGAUUGUCUCUGUCUACAUCAGUGCACCUUUUGGCAAAGUCUGUUACAGCUUCAGCCAUUUUAACCACUUGGCCAAAUGUGUUUCCUUGCACGUACUGCGCAAACAUGAUCAUGGCUCUAUAAGAAGAAUGGAGAUCAUUAAGAAUGCUUCUGUCUAUCUAAAAAAUAAAAAUAACUGUAUUACUUUUUGCACGAGACAGUAAGAGAGCUUCUAUCACCAAUUCGCUCAGGCUGAUGGAACAGGGAGUGUGCAACUUGCAUUGCGUGCUCAUCUCCAAAUGACACAAAAUGCCAUAGGAAUGUUCACAGGCAGCAAAUUUGCAAGUAGAUUCUUUACCCAGACAACUUACAUGGCUUUAAAAUUGUUCUCUUGCAGCUGAGAAAACCGUUGGCUGAUGCUGUUUUUUUCCUCUGAAAAACAAGAUAAUUAGCGUUUGAAUAGAAUAUGUUUCAAAUGCUUCAUCAAAUACUUUUCUUUUUUAAAUAUACAGGAGUUUCAGAAAAACAGAAUGCAGUGCCAGUAGUACUAUUACUAAGGUGGAGGGCAUGAGGCAAUGCUAUCUAUUUGACUUGAAGGUGGGAAACAAUUUGUUUUUGAGCUAAAAUGUAAUUUCCCUGCCUAUUUCAUGCUUUGCAGAAGGGAGAUACAAUCAAACUUAGAAGGUGUUCAGCUAUGAUGGUACACAUCAUGUGAUUAAAUAAACGUCUUAGAAACCA